GGCAGGGGUAAAAUUUUGACUACUAAGACAUAAACAAAAUGGGUUUUAUUAUUGGUUGUAUUGUGGACUGUGACUUCAAAAGGCUCAAUUAAUUUGAAGUCCAUUAUUUUCAUCUUAAAAAAUGGCAUAACAAGAGCUACCUUGCUUUUAUUAUAAGGUUAUUAUAAAUAGCAACUGAAGUAUGUGUAAAAGUAUUUUAUACACUAUAAAGAGAUAAACUUAUGUGGAGCAUUACCAGUAUUGAACUGAAGCACAGAAGUUGACCAUUAGAAGAGAAAUAUGGCAUUUUAAAGAGGCAUCUGGCAAUGUGUCAUUUUUAAAGGUCAACUAACCUUGUUUGGCUCUGGAUUGUACAAUAGCCUUCUUCUGCAUUAAAAAAAAAUAUGUGACAGCCAAAAAGAAAGUGUGGUGCCUUCUAUCUUGAGACUAGUUAUACCCAGCAUAAUCUAGAGAAUUGAUAUGAUAAAUAAAGAAUGUGUUUCCCCAUUUGAUAUAAAAUAUUGAUAUAAUUUAGAACUCUGGAUCUAUGAAGUUAUCAGAGACACUGGUCUGAUCACAGAAUGUCAAAGAAGCUCCUCGAAAGAAACAACAGCCUUUCCUCUUACCUCUUUUGUUCUGCUCCAUAUGGGGAACAGCAGUGGAUACAUUGCCCCCAGAUACACAGUAAUUGCUUACAAAAAACAGGACAAUGCUACAAGCCAGAAUACAGAUCUGAAACAAAUAAAAUAAAAUGACGAGGUAAAAAUACCUACGCAUCAUGUAGAACAGAGUUUAUGAUAAUAGCAGCUUCCAUGUUUUGGAUUAAAGUUAAACCACAAUUAACAAGUCAAAAUUAAUGGAUUAUUUAAUACUUCUUUAUUGAGUAUUCAUGUCCUGACCCCAAGAUAGUUCUGGGAAUUUUAAAGAAUUGCUAGAUUUCUCAUUUUGCAGUGUUGUGGUAGAGUGUGUCAGACACUCUGAAAGUUCAGUUAAUUACCACAUCAGAGUAUCCAUCUUUCUGAUCCAGUGUCCUUAAUUUUUAUUGCAAUUUGAAAAUGAUAAAUUUCAAGGGGCUAGUUUAUAUGCUAUAACAAUCUAAGGAGACUUAAUGAGAAAUAUGCUCAUUGUAACUGGAGCUCACAUAAAAAUAAACUUCGGAUUAUAUAAGAAACAAUAUUUUUAUUUUAAAUAUUUUGUUUAAUCAAAUUCAAACAGAAAUAUAUCUUUAGCAUACAAUGAGUCAGUGGAUUUUGUGAUCUGCCUUUGUUUCUUCUUACAUUUAGAAAAUUUCAAUUUGAUCUCAACCAUCUCUCUAUAUGGCCAUUUAUUUACCCAUGUAGCAAUUAAAUUACACAUAGUAAAACCCUGACUUUUGUAAUUUUAUUUUUUGGUUCACAUAUGUUGUUUUGGUAUAGAAUUACACAAAGGAUAAAGAAGGCAUUUCUUAAC
RNAcentral lists this long non-coding RNA (1428 nucleotides) under Pan troglodytes (chimpanzee). RNAcentral describes it as "lncRNA (ENSPTRG00000053794.1)". The record is from RNAcentral. Lineage: Eukaryota; Metazoa; Chordata; Mammalia; Primates; Hominidae.